Molecule: ribosomal RNA, 497 nt
Filed under: uncultured bacterium
Lineage: Bacteria
Description: partial 16S ribosomal RNA
Rfam family: Bacterial small subunit ribosomal RNA
Source: RNAcentral
GAUGAACGCUGGCGGCGUGCCUAAUACAUGCAAGUCGAGCGAACAGACGAGGGGCUUGCUCCUCUGACGUUAGCGGCGGACGGGUGAGUAACACGUGGAUAACCUACCUAUAAGACUGGGAUAACUUCGGGAAACCGGAGCUAAUACCGGAUAAUAUAUUGAACCGCAUGGUUCAAUAGUGAAAGACGGUUUUGCUGUCACUUAUAGAUGGAUCCGCGCCGCAUUAGCUAGUUGGUAAGGUAACGGCUUACCAAGGCGACGAUGCGUAGCCGACCUGAGAGGGUGAUCGGCCACACUGGAACUGAGACACGGUCCAGACUCCUAAGGGAGGCAGCAGUAGGGAAUCUUCCGCAAUGGGCGAAAGCCUGACGGAGCAACGCCGCGUGAGUGAUGAAGGUCUUCGGAUCGUAAAACUCUGUUAUUAGGGAAGAACAAAUGUGUAAGUAACUAUGCACGUCUUGACGGUACCUAAUCAGAAAGCCACGGCUAACUACGUG